Molecule: ribosomal RNA, 446 nt
Filed under: uncultured bacterium
Lineage: Bacteria
Description: bacterial SSU rRNA
Rfam family: Bacterial small subunit ribosomal RNA
Source: RNAcentral
UCCAGACUCCUACGGGAGGCAGCAGUGGGGAAUAUUGCACAAUGGGGGAAACCCUGAUGCAGCGACGCCGCGUGAGUGAAGAAGUAUUUCGGUAUGUAAAGCUCUAUCAGCAGGGAAGAAAAAAGACGGUACCUGACUAAGAAGCCCCGGCUAACUACGUGCCAGCAGCCGCGGUAAUACGUAGGGGGCAAGCGUUAUCCGGAAUUACUGGGUGUAAAGGGUGCGUAGGUGGCAUGGUAAGUCAGAAGUGAAAGCCCGGGGCUUAACCCCGGGACUGCUUUUGAAACUGUCAUGCUGGAGUGCAGGAGAGGUAAGCGGAAUUCCUAGUGUAGCGGUGAAAUGCGUAGAUAUUAGGAGGAACACCAGUGGCGAAGGCGGCUUACUGGACUGUCACUGACACUGAUGCACGAAAGCGUGGGGAGCAAACAGGAUUAGAUACCCUGGUA